GGGCGGCUAGCUCAGCUGGUUAGAGCACCUCGUUUACACCGAGGGGGUCGGGGGUUCGAAUCCCUCGCCGCCCA
Phenylobacterium sp. is the source of this 74-nucleotide non-coding RNA. Lineage: Bacteria; Pseudomonadati; Pseudomonadota; Alphaproteobacteria; Caulobacterales; Caulobacteraceae. The record is from Rfam.